RNAcentral lists this ribosomal RNA (497 nucleotides) under uncultured bacterium. RNAcentral describes it as "partial 16S ribosomal RNA". It matches the Rfam family "Bacterial small subunit ribosomal RNA", at positions 28 to 507 of the family's 1533-position model. The record is from RNAcentral.
GACGAACGCUGGCGGCGUGCUUAACACAUGCAAGUCGAACGGUGAAGCGCCUUCCUUUUUGGUGGGUGUGGAUGAGUGGCGAACGGGUGAGUAACACGUGAGUAACCUGCCCCCUUCUUCUGGAUAACCGCAUGAAAGUGUGGCUAAUACGGGAUAUUCUGGGUCUGUCGCAUGAUGGGUCUGGGAAAGAUCUUGUUUCGGUGGGGGAUGGGCUCGCGCCCUAUCAGCUUGUUGGUGGGGUGAUGGCCUACCAAGGCGGUGACGGGUAGCCGGCCUGAGAGGGUGGUCGGCGGCCCUAGAACGAAGGAGAGACCCAGAAGCCUACGGGAGGCAGCAGUAGGGAAGAUUCUGGCAUAGGCGGAAGCAUGACGGAGCAACGACGCGGGAGGGAUGAAGGACUCCGGAUCGUAGAAAUCUUUUAUUGGGGAAGAAGCAAGGUGGAAGUGACUGUGCAUGGGUUGACGGUACCUAAACAAAAAGCGACGGCUAACUACGUG